UGAACAUAAGGUCACAUGCUGGGGUACUGGGGGUUAGGCCAUCGCCAUUUGCAUCUUUGGCAGACACAGCUCAACCUGUAACGUGAAUUUCUUCUUUGCAUCCUCUUUCUGGAAGUUUUGCUUGCAGCUGCUUGAAUACCACGCCCUUUCUUAAAUGGAUGCUCCACCCACUGAGGAGACAGCUGAAGGUGCCAAGAACAAGGGGACCAGGGGCCACAGACCGGCUGAGGAUGGGCAGUCACGUUCCACAGCCCUCCAGAACCCUGCACACCCCUGCGAGCCAGAAUGGGAACCAACAGGCAAUUUCCUGUGACUCUAUGGAAUCCAAAAUUGAAUUUAAGUCCACCUUAACAAUGAAUAAAAUGAAUUUUUUACA
Molecule: non-coding RNA, 376 nt
Organism: Oryctolagus cuniculus (rabbit)
Lineage: Eukaryota; Metazoa; Chordata; Mammalia; Lagomorpha; Leporidae
Source: RefSeq, a predicted model, not a curated record